UGGCUCAGCAUGUACGCUGGCGGCGUGCUUAACACAUGCAAGUCGAACGGGGCACCCCUGAAGGAGUUUUCGGACAACUGAAGGGAAUGCUUAGUGGCGGACGGGUGAGUAACGCGUGAGUAACCUGCCUUGGAGUGGGGAAUAACAGUUGGAAACAGCUGCUAAUACCGCAUGAUGCAGUUGAGUCGCAUGGCUCUGACUGCCAAAGAUUUAUCGCUCUGAGAUGGACUCGCGUCUGAUUAGCUAGUUGGCGGGGUAACGGCCCACCAAGGCGACGAUCAGUAGCCGGACUGAGAGGUUGGCCGGCCACAUUGGGACUGAGACACGGCCAGACUCCUACGGGAGGCAGCAGUGGGGAAUAUUGGGCAAUGGGCGCAAGCCUGACCCAGCAACGCCGCGUGAAGGAAGAAGGCUUUCGGGUUGUAAACUUCUUUUCUCAGGGACGAAGAAAGUGACGGUACCUGAGGAAUAAGCCACGGCUAACUACGUGCCAGCAGCCGCGGUAAUACGUAGGUGGCAAGCGUUAUCCGGAUUUACUGGGUGUAAAGGGCGUGUAGGCGGGAGUGCAAGUCAGAUGUGAAAACCACGGGCUCAACCUGUGGCCUGCAUUUGAAACUGUACUUCUUGAGUACUGGAGAGGCAGACGGAAUUCCUAGUGUAGCGGUGAAAUGCGUAGAUAUUAGGAGGAACACCAGUGGCGAAGGCGGUCUGCUGGACAGCAACUGACGCUGAGGCGCGAAAGCGUGGGGAGCAAACAGGAUUAGAUACCCUGGUAGUCCACGCUGUAAACGAUGGAUACUAGGUGUGGGGGGACUGACCCCCUCCGUGCCGCAGUUAACACAAUAAGUAUCCCACCUGGGGAGUACGAUCGCAAGGUUGAAACUCAAAGGAAUUGACGGGGGCCCGCACAAGCGGUGGAGUAUGUGGUNUAAUUCGAAGCAACGCGAAGAACCUUACCAGGGCUUGACAUCCCGAGGCCAGACCUAGAGAUAGGUCCUUCUCUUCGGAGACCUCGGUGACAGGUGGUGCAUGGUUGUCGUCAGCUCGUGUCGUGAGAUGUUGGGUUAAGUCCCGCAACGAGCGCAACCCUUAUUGUUAGUUGCUACGCAAGAGCACUCUAGCGAGACUGCCGUUGACAAAACGGAGGAAGGUGGGGACGACGUCAAAUCAUCAUGCCCCUUAUGUCCUGGGCCACACACGUACUACAAUGGUGGUCAACAGAGGGAAGCAAAACCGCGAGGUGGAGCAAAUCCCUAAAAGCCAUCCCAGUUCGGAUCGCAGGCUGCAACCCGCCUGCGUGAAGUUGGAAUCGCUAGUAAUCGCGGAUCAGCAUGCCGCGGUGAAUACGUUCCCGGGCCUUGUACACACCGCCCGUCACACCAUGAGAGUCGGGAACACCCGAAGUCCGUAGCCUAACCGCAAGGGGGGCGCGGCCGAAGGUGGGUUCGAUAAUUGGGGUGAAGUCGUAACAAGGUAACCGU
This 1481-nucleotide ribosomal RNA is filed under the name uncultured bacterium. Its description in RNAcentral is "16S ribosomal RNA". It matches the Rfam family "Bacterial small subunit ribosomal RNA". The record is from RNAcentral.